This 777-nucleotide ribosomal RNA is filed under the name Triticum aestivum (bread wheat). Its description in RNAcentral is "partial small subunit ribosomal RNA". Lineage: Eukaryota; Viridiplantae; Streptophyta; Magnoliopsida; Poales; Poaceae. The record is from RNAcentral.
AUGCAGCUCUUUGAGGCAUUCUAUGAGAACAGGCUAGAUGUGGCGCGUCUUAACUAUGGUAUUAUCACACUAAUACCUAAAAUGAGUGGGGCAAGAAAGAUUCAGCAGUAUCAUCCCAUUUGCUUGCUCAGAUGCCCAUACAAGUUAAUCACAAAGGUGUUGGACAACAGAGUAGCGUUAUUUGCUGACAAGUUGAUUAGCAAGCACCAAAAUGCCUUUAUCAAAUGCAGAAAUAUAAUGGAUGGAAUCCUGACCCUCCAUGAAGUUUUGCACCAUACUCAUCUUAAGAAAAAAGUGGGAAUAGUGCUUAAGCUGGACUUUGAAAAAGCCUACGAUAAGAUAAACUGGGACUUCCUCCUCGAGUGCCACAAAAACAGGGGUUUUUGCCCCACCUGGUGCGGUUGGGUGGAGAAAAUUUUGCACAAUGGCACGCUGAGUAUAAAGCUGAAUAAUGAAAUGGGACCCUACUUUCAGAGCCACAAAGGGGUUCGUCAAGGCGACCCACACUCUCCUUUUUUAUUCAAUCUUGCGGUAGAAACCCUGUCUAAGAUGGUGACCAAUGCGCAGAAAGAAAAGUUAUUGACUGGCCUGGCACCGGAUUUAAUCGAGGGGGGUGUGGCAAUCCUACAAUAUGCAGACAAUACGGUGAUUUGUUUUGAACAUGACAGAGAGGCAGCCAUUAACCUGAAACUACUGUUGUAUGUUUUUGAGCUUAUGUCAGGCCUCAAGAUAAACUUCAUGAAAAGUGAGAUCUUGUGUGGGGGGGGGAGGCAAUGA